RNAcentral lists this ribosomal RNA (1119 nucleotides) under Latilactobacillus sakei. RNAcentral describes it as "bacterial SSU rRNA". It matches the Rfam family "Bacterial small subunit ribosomal RNA", at positions 348 to 1461 of the family's 1533-position model. Lineage: Bacteria; Bacillati; Bacillota; Bacilli; Lactobacillales; Lactobacillaceae. The record is from RNAcentral.
GCAGCAGUAGGAAUCUUCCACAAUGGACGAAAGUCUGAUGGAGCAACGCCGCGUGAGGAAGAAGGUUUUCGGAUCGUAAAACUCUGUUUUGGAGAAGAAUGUAUCUGAUAGUAACUGAUCAGGUAGUGACGGUAUCCAACCAGAAAGCCACGGCUAACUACGUGCCAGCAGCCGCGGUAAUACGUAGGUGGCAAGCGUUGUCCGGAUUUAUUGGGCGUAAAGCGAGCGCAGGCGGUUUCUUAAGUCUGAUGUGAAAGCCUUCGGCUCAACCGAAGAAGUGCAUCGGAAACUGGGAAACUUGAGUGCAGAAGAGGACAGUGGAACUCCAUGUGUAGCGGUGAAAUGCGUAGAUAUAUGGAAGAACACCAGUGGCGAAGGCGGCUGUCUGGUCUGUAACUGACGCUGAGGCUCGAAAGCAUGGGUAGCAAACAGGAUUAGAUACCCUGGUAGUCCAUGCCGUAAACGAUGAGUGCUAGGUGUUGGAGGGUUUCCGCCCUUCAGUGCCGCAGCUAACGCAUUAAGCACUCCGCCUGGGGAGUACGACCGCAAGGUUGAAACUCAAAGGAAUUGACGGGGGCCCGCACAAGCGGUGGAGCAUGUGGUUUAAUUCGAAGCAACGCGAAGAACCUUACCAGGUCUUGACAUCCUUUGACCACUCUAGAGAUAGAGCUUUCCCUUCGGGGACAAAGUGACAGGUGGUGCAUGGUUGUCGUCAGCUCGUGUCGUGAGAUGUUGGGUUAAGUCCCGCAACGAGCGCAACCCUUAUUACUAGUUGCCAGCAUUUAGUUGGGCACUCUAGUGAGACUGCCGGUGACAAACCGGAGGAAGGUGGGGACGACGUCAAAUCAUCAUGCCCCUUAUGACCUGGGCUACACACGUGCUACAAUGGAUGGUACAACGAGUUGCGAGACCGCGAGGUUUAGCUAAUCUCUUAAAACCAUUCUCAGUUCGGAUUGUAGGCUGCAACUCGCCUACAUGAAGCCGGAAUCGCUAGUAAUCGCGGAUCAGCAUGCCGCGGUGAAUACGUUCCCGGGCCUUGUACACACCGCCCGUCACACCAUGAGAGUUUGUAACACCCAAAGCCGGUGAGGUAACCCUUCGGGGAGCCAGCCGUCUAAG